Long non-coding RNA from Mytilus trossulus (common blue mussel), 1566 nucleotides. RefSeq lists it as uncharacterized. Lineage: Eukaryota; Metazoa; Mollusca; Bivalvia; Mytilida; Mytilidae. The transcript has 6 exons. The record is from RefSeq and is a predicted model, not a curated record.
AAUAUAUUCAAAAUUGUUCAACUACAUUAAAUUAAUGCCAAAAGUAGGAGACCCCGCGAAUAGUUGUGAGGACUAUGCUGAUAAAACUAGGAAUUUUACUUAGGAGCAAAGAUCAUCAAUCCUAAAAUAUUUAUGUGACAAUGUUCAUCCAAUCACCUUGCAACACCUUGAUGUACAUGUACCAAGUCUAAUUCAUGUCACUAUUACAUGCACUUUGAUACACAGACCAUCCAACUUUGAUUCAGGCUUUUUACAUCAUAUGGCUGAUCUAGAUGCUGUUUUAAGAGCACAGUCUGUACUGUUUGUGAUUGAAGAAGAAGUGGAAACAAAGCCAGAAAAUCUGUUGAGUCAUACAGAUAUUCUGUUUAAUAUGUCCCGAAACACAAACUUCAGCGAAGACCUACUUUAGAAAAGAUGCAUGGCAGCUUGUUUUAAAUACUCUCAAAGUAUUAGAAGAUAUGUAUAUUAGUAACACUCAGAAGUAUUAUGAUAAGAUUUCUCCAUGCCAGACAAGAAAAGGCAAAGCUUUAAUAGGUCCAGUUGAAGGAAGAAUAUUCAAAAAGUUUUCAAAAAGGACAUCAGACCAGAUUAAAUCAAGAAAAAGAAGUGUGGACAAUUCUUCAUUAAAAGCUAGGAAAUCCUUUACAAAUGAAGAUAUAGUUUUCCAUUAAAAGCUAGGAAAUCCCUUACAAGUGAAGAUAGUUCUCCAUUAAAAGCUAGGAAAUCCCUUACAAGUGAAGAUAGUUCUCCAUUAAAAGCUAGGAAAUCCCUUACAAGUGAAGAUAGUUCUCCAUUAAAAGCAAUAAAAGGAAUGCCCACCUUCUUAGUUAUAAAAGCAAAAGAAAUGAAAGCUGAAAUUAUAGAGUAUCUGCAGAAUUAUAAGCCAUUUAAAUCAUUGCCAAAAGUUGGAGAUCCUGUUUAACCAUUAUGUUGACAACACUAGAGGCAUAUCUGAGGAAGUGAGAGAUGAAUUAACUUCAUAUCUCAGCUUGACAUAUAAAGACAUUUUCAAUCUAUCUGUCAGUUCUGACAUUCCAUCUAUGAUGCACAACACUAUAUCAUUCAUAAUACAUCAUUCAGGAAACAAAGGUACAACUUUUAUGAGAGAAAACAAUAUUUUUUUUUACUUUCUGUUACAUUAGAAAUAACAGUACUGUAGUUGAAGAGUUGCCACCGUCAAUUGUUACACAGUAGACAGUAUCAGAGACAGUAAAACAGUGAUUUGCAACCAUCAAAUUAAAAUUGACAGUGACAACUGUUCAAGUACAGUACUGUUAUUCCGAUUCUAAUGCAUUACAAAAAGAAAAAGUACGAUAAAACUUUAAAAAACGACUAAACUUGACAAUUAGAAACAAAAAAACGCGAAAUUUAAUGAAUUAUUUUGGCACAAAAAUGUCAUGGCUAAACGUGACGUCAUACAAAUGAAAACUUACAAACUGGAGGUUAUUACCUUACCCGUACGCUUCAAAUUACGAUAAAAUUACAUUAAAACGCCAAAUUCAAGGUAGGUGUUGUUUUAUUUUCAAUUAUAUAGUAGUAAUCGAACAUUUGUUGAUUCAAUCAAUU